RNAcentral lists this ribosomal RNA (873 nucleotides) under Salmonella enterica. RNAcentral's name for it is "partial 23S ribosomal RNA". It matches the Rfam family "Bacterial large subunit ribosomal RNA", at positions 2061 to 2925 of the family's 2925-position model. The record is from RNAcentral. Lineage: Bacteria; Pseudomonadati; Pseudomonadota; Gammaproteobacteria; Enterobacterales; Enterobacteriaceae.
GCAGUGUACCCGCGGCAAGACGGAAAGACCCCGUGAACCUUUACUAUAGCUUGACACUGAACAUUGAGCCUUGAUGUGUAGGAUAGGUGGGAGGCUUUGAAGUGUGGACGCCAGUCUGCAUGGAGCCGGCCUUGAAAUACCACCCUUUAAUGUUUGAUGUUCUAACGUGGACCCGUGAUCCGGGUUGCGGACAGUGUCUGGUGGGUAGUUUGACUGGGGCGGUCUCCUCCUAAAGAGUAACGGAGGAGCACGAAGGUUGGCUAAUCCUGGUCGGACAUCAGGAGGUUAGUGCAAUGGCAUAAGCCAGCUUGACUGCGAGCGUGACGGCGCGAGCAGGUGCGAAAGCAGGUCAUAGUGAUCCGGUGGUUCUGAAUGGAAGGGCCAUCGCUCAACGGAUAAAAGGUACUCCGGGGAUAACAGGCUGAUACCGCCCAAGAGUUCAUAUCGACGGCGGUGUUUGGCACCUCGAUGUCGGCUCAUCACAUCCUGGGGCUGAAGUAGGUCCCAAGGGUAUGGCUGUUCGCCAUUUAAAGUGGUACGCGAGCUGGGUUUAGAACGUCGUGAGACAGUUCGGUCCCUAUCUGCCGUGGGCGCUGGAGAACUGAGGGGGGCUGCUCCUAGUACGAGAGGACCGGAGUGGACGCAUCACUGGUGUUCGGGUUGUCAUGCCAAUGGCACUGCCCGGUAGCUAAAUGCGGAAGAGAUAAGUGCUGAAAGCAUCUAAGCACGAAACUUGCCCCGAGAUGAGUUCUCCCUGAGACUUUAGGUCUCCUGAAGGAACGUUGAAGACGACGACGUUGAUAGGCCGGGUGUGUAAGCGCAGCGAUGCGUUGAGCUAACCGGUACUAAUGAACCGUGAGGCUUAACCUUACA